Molecule: long non-coding RNA, 760 nt
Organism: Parasteatoda tepidariorum (common house spider)
Lineage: Eukaryota; Metazoa; Arthropoda; Arachnida; Araneae; Theridiidae
Source: RefSeq, a predicted model, not a curated record
UUUUUCUUAUCGCCAGAAGUUACGUUGGCAAUUGAGAGUUAGUUGUUGUUUAUGAAUAGUUGUGAUUUGUUUGAAUAAUUGGUUGUUUGACGUUAAAAUAGAUACGUAUGUUUUCAGUUGUGUUAUAAGGAUAAAUAUAUUUUAUUUUUUAAAUAUCAGUGAACUGUAUAAAGUGAUUUUUUAAUCCACAAUUUCGAUCUGCCUCAAUUCGAGUUCAGCUUUGUUCAAGUUCGAUUUUAUGUUCUCUUCGCUACACGGAAAAAAGAUUUAAAGGACAUCUUCCAUCAAAAAAGUAACUAUUGUGUUAAGGCAACGGACAACACUGAGAAAACGAGCCGACAGAAUAUUUUAUGGCGCCUUGGCGGUCAAAUCCUGGCGAAAUUAUUCUUGAUACAAAAUGAUGCCAUAGAACAAUGUGGAAAGGUACUGUUCUUCUGUUGCCAAUUGCCCUUUUGUUGAAUCAUUCAUUUUGAGCUGCAAUGUGAGAGACGGGCUUGAUUGAUUUAUAUCGCCACCAUGGUCGCCAGCUUUGUGAAUUUUCCGAAACUGUUAUAACCAAUUAUUUAUCUGUGUUUAACUGUGGACGUCGUCGCUUGUAAAUCAUUUUCAUAUUUUUAUUCAUCCAGUUGGAAAAAAAUCUUCUAAAUAUUCAAUUCACUGUUUUCUUUGUUUCAAAGAAUACUCGAAUUAGAUUUCAAAAUGUAGGUGGACACUUUUAAGAUUUUUUUUUUAUUCUUUAGAGAUGUCGAUUGUUAAUGAA